GACGAAGGUGGCAAGCGUUGCUCGGAAUUACUGGGCAUAAAGGGCGCGUAGGUGGCGCAGUAAGUCGGCGGUGAAAGCCUGUGGCUCACCCAUAGAAUUGCCGUCGAUACUGCUGUGCUCGAGGGCAGGAGGGGAGAGUGGAACUCCUGGUGUAGCGGUGAAAUGCGUAGAUAUCAGGAGGAACGCCGGUGGCGAAAGCGACUCUCUGGACUGUUCCUGACACUGAGGCGCGAAAGCUAGGGGAGCAAACAGG
This 253-nucleotide unclassified non-coding RNA is filed under the name uncultured Planctomycetota bacterium. Its description in RNAcentral is "uncultured planctomycete contains 16S-23S intergenic spacer region". It matches the Rfam family "Bacterial small subunit ribosomal RNA", at positions 524 to 776 of the family's 1533-position model. The record is from RNAcentral. Lineage: Bacteria; Pseudomonadati; Planctomycetota.